AUAUAUUUUGUAAAAAAAAAAAUCUGUUCUUAUCAGUUUAAUAUCUGAUACGUCCCCCAUCGGGGGACUACAUAUUAAAUGGAUUUUUCGAACAGGGAGUCGGAAAUGGGGCUUGCUCCGUCCGCUCCACGCAUCGACUCGGUAUUGCAGUACCUCCGGGAACGGUGCAACACUU
This 175-nucleotide small nuclear RNA is filed under the name Salmo salar (Atlantic salmon). Its description in RNAcentral is "U2 spliceosomal RNA (ENSSSAG00000083737.1)". It matches the Rfam family "U2 spliceosomal RNA". Rfam says of the family: U2 is a small nuclear RNA (snRNA) component of the spliceosome (involved in pre-mRNA splicing). Lineage: Eukaryota; Metazoa; Chordata; Actinopteri; Salmoniformes; Salmonidae. The record is from RNAcentral.